Molecule: long non-coding RNA, 3270 nt
Organism: Oreochromis aureus
Lineage: Eukaryota; Metazoa; Chordata; Actinopteri; Cichliformes; Cichlidae
Source: Ensembl
GUUAACCACAGGCUGUACAGGAAUAAUGGGCGUGGCUUUCAGGGUUAAACACACUUAAACCUACAUGUUUUUUUCUAAUGAGUCGUCUGUGGUUAACAGCUGUGACCUUUGACCUUGUUAAACACUUUCCUGAUGAGCUGUGCUCUAAACAUUUAGUUUUUAUUUAAAGUUCACUUCUUAGCUUUGAUGGUUCCACUUAAAGUUGGGGAUAAAGAUAUGCUUGUUUUAUAUACACACCUCGAGGUCAAAGGUCAUUAUUGGAGUUUUUUGUCAGUUUAAGAUGAACUGUAAUAUGUCAGCAAAUGAAACCCAAACCUUUCUACAGUUUGUCACAGCACGCUUUGAUCAAACUGUAACACAUGCAUACAUGUGUUGGACACAUGACUGUACCCCACUACAUCUGCAUUUAAAGGGCACACAUAUGUAUACAGUAUAUGUCCUGUGAUACACUGUACACACACGUGCUUCCUGCAAACCACAUGUGCAUCAUCCCACGUAGGACUGAAAGAGAAGGAUGUUGUCAUCACUUCCCGCAGCCCAGAGGCCGCUGCACCAGUGGAGACCGCUCAUCCUGCAGCCACACCUGAAGCUGCUGUGGAGCCUGACCCUGUUCCUGUGGAAGAUGUGAUUGAAGCUGCUGUGGCAGAGGACACAGCUGCAGCCUCACCACCAGAGCCUGAAGCUGAGGCGGCAUCAGAAUCAGCACCUGUGGCUCCUCCUGAGGCCGAUGAGGUGAUUGAGGAGGAGCCAGAGGUGCUGGAGGAGGAGCCUGCUGCAGAAGAGGAGGAUGCUCCUGUUGAGGAAGAGGAGGUUGCUCCAGCUGAAGAAGAGCCAGCUGCAGAGGAGAUGAUGGGAGAUCAACCUGCAGAGGAGGAGGAGGAGGAAACAGAAACAGAGGCUGCGGAGGAGACCACAGAGGAGGCUACAGAGGAGACCGUGGAGGAGGACACGGAGGAGACCGCGGAGGAGGACACGGAGGAGACCGCGGAGGAGGACACAGAGGAGACCGCGGAGGAGGCCACAGAGGAGACCACGGAGGAGGACACGGAGGAGACCGCGGAGGAGGACACGGAGGAGGCUACAGAGGAGACCGUGGAGGAGGCUGUGGAAGAGGCCGAGGAUGAAGCUGCAGCAGAGGUGGAAGAGUCUUUCGCUGGUUCAGUGGAGGACACAGAUGAGGAGGUGGCUCAGGAGACGGCUCCUACAGAGGAAGCUGUUGUGGAGCCACCUGAACAAGAGGAGGCUGCUCCAUCAGAGGAACCUGCUGAGGAGGAAGAAGCUGCAGAAGAAUCUGAGGCUGCAGCAGAAGAAAUGGGGGCAGCACAUGCAGAAGAAGCUGCUGAGGAAACUCCUGUAGAGGAGCAGGAAGCUCCUUUAGAAGAACCUGUUGAGGAGCAAGCUGAAGUAGAGGAAGCUCCUACAGAAGAGGCACCAGAGGAGACGGCCGAGGAAGAAAUAACUGAGGAGGAGACAGUACCAGUGACAAACACAGAAGAAGAAGCAGCACAUGGUGGUGCAGCAAGGGAUCCUGAGAUGGAGGAACUGUGGAAAGACGAGCCUACAGAAACGUAGGCCACGGAGGUCACCGCUGUGAUGGAGCAGGGACCCACUGACAUUGCAUCAGCACCAUCUGAGCUCAGAUGAUGAUGCCCCUCUCCAGAGAAAUGAUUGAGUUGUCAUGGCAACAAUCGCCCCUCUCCCCCCAUUUUCAUCCCUCCCUUUAAAUUUCCCUUUUAGUGUCAAAGUGUGAGAUGUUCACUAAUAUGCUUCCUUUGCCCUUGUUGUGUUUCCUUUCAGGUUUUGGCUCAUUCUUUUGUUUUCCUGUUUCCUUCAGGGUGUUUUAGCUUCAGUGUGUUUGGGGCACAUGUCCACUCCCUGUGACGUACGAGUGUGUGGUGCACUCGCACAGUCUUGUACCUCUCAGCAAAAAGAGGUCCAAAUCUUCGCUGGAGCUGCACGCUAGCUGCACAUUAAGAAGCUUCACACUUUAAAGUGUUGGAGCAACCAAAUCAAAUCCCCACUCAGAGCAGAAGCUGCUGCUCAGUGUAGAGAGGACUCUAUGCAAAGGUGUGACGCGUGUCACCCACCUCCUUCCUCCUCCUCCUUAGCAUCAGGUGAAUUUACCACUCAGUGUCGACUCCAGGAUGAGCCAUACACUAGCACAUGAACUGUGUGUGUUUGUGAGUAAUGCGUUGUUAUGUGCUGAGAGAUCUUUGCUAAUCCUUCUUGUUGUGUGAGCUGUAGUUUAGUUUCAUUUUGUUAUCUCACUACAUCAGACUGUAUCCUGUAGACUCCGAGCUGGAUCUUCUGUUUGCACAACUGAACUGAAGUUGUGACCUCAGCUUGUUGAACUGUGAGGGCAGCACGGACAGUGACACCCCCCCCCCCCACUUCACGUUUAACAGUGGCUCAUUCCUGUGGAAAUCCAGCCUCUCUGUAGAGGCUUAACGCCACCCUGUCACACACAAACAAUAAUGUCAAAUAAGAGCACUACUAUCUUAUUUUGAAGGCCAGAUGUAGAGCCAAACAUCGUUUCUGUUUGUCCUGUAAACAUAAAUCACCUUGCUUCACUCAAGGAUCAUGAUACAUGAUGACUGGCAGUGAAAAUGCUGUAGGAAUCAGUAAACACUACGUGUGGUCCUCACUUACUGUAACUGUUUGUUAGGGAUGCAACCUCGCUGUGUGAAUAUGUCUGAUUUUUCUUUCUCCUGUAACACUAGCUGAUGUUUUCUGUUUGCUGAAACUUUGUGAGUCAAUGUGAACCGAACCUUUUUAACAUUGAAAAGUAGAAUCUUUACUGAGAGACAACUUCUAGAUUUUUUAAUAGAUUUUUUAAAAAGAAUUUGGAGAGAUGAGAAGAAUUCUUAUUUCCAGAAGAUGCUUGCGGUGCUUUGUACUAAGCCAUAAGCUGUUUGUUGACUUUGUCCUGUGAAGCACAAACAAGAGAAACACUGUUGAGUUUUCAGUACUCGGCUUUGAUCACAGGUCACGUUCAUGUCUCAGAGGGUUGUGGCGCACAGGCAGCUCUGUUUCUAAACAGAGGCCACUUCUGAUGAACACGAUGCAACAAUGUAUCAGUGAUGACAGAGGGAGGGGGGGCGUGGCCAUCUUCAUCAAUGACAUGCUGUCUUUGAGUCAUAACCCUCAGAUUAUGGUUGAGUGUGCAGGUGUGACACUGUGCUGACUAAAUGAUCAUGAAGUACUGACAGAGAUUUGAAGUGGGAAGUUUUUCUGUUCUGGGAGCUAUAAUAAAAGAUUUGGGACAACACA